RNAcentral lists this ribosomal RNA (356 nucleotides) under uncultured bacterium. Its description in RNAcentral is "partial 16S ribosomal RNA". It matches the Rfam family "Bacterial small subunit ribosomal RNA", at positions 338 to 708 of the family's 1533-position model. The record is from RNAcentral.
CCUACGGGUGGCAGCAGUGGGGAAUAUUGGGCAAUGGAGGAAACUCUGACCCAGCAACGCCGCGUGAAUGAUGAAGGUCUUCGGAUUGUAAAGUCCUUUUCUAAGGGAAGAAGAAAGUGACGGUACCUUAGGAAUAAGCCUCGGCUAACUACGUGCCAGCAGCCGCGGUAAUACGUAGGAGGCGAGCGUUAUCCGGAAUGCCUGGGCGUAAAGGGUGCGUAGGUGGUAUGGCAAGUUAGUAGGGUAACUCGAGGGGUCAACCUUGGAACUACCAGUAAAACUGUUGGACUUGAGGGCAGGAGAGGUAGGCGGAAUGCGUGGUGUAGCGGGGGAAUGCAUAGAUAUUACGAAGAACA